Long non-coding RNA from Carassius gibelio (silver crucian carp), 4079 nucleotides. RefSeq lists it as uncharacterized. The transcript has 4 exons. NCBI's taxonomy places the organism in Eukaryota, Metazoa, Chordata, Actinopteri, Cypriniformes, Cyprinidae. The record is from RefSeq and is a predicted model, not a curated record.
UGAUGCCAGACUGGCUCUGAAUUCAGAAUGGGUUGCAGGUGUUUGUUUGCUCGGUGUAAGAAUUUGACAGGUUUGCACUGGUUCCCCCGAGAUACUGACAGAGCUAGAUUGUGGCUGCAGGCGGUGGGUUGGCCAUCAGCUCCUGACACAUCAAGAAUGUUUGUGUGUAACAAACUUGUUUCGUGGGAGCGCUUUUACAGACAUCAGGACGUUGGCAUUGCUCAUGGAGGUAAUCUCCGACGAGAAGACGCUGAACGAAGUCCCAAGUAUUUUUCCAUCCCUACAGGGCAGCCAUUUCACUUGAGCUGCUGGCUGGAAAUAUUGGAGUUUUGCCCAGUGACCGCAACUGAAGGAGGAAGUCUAAAUAUGGUCAUUGGUGAAAUGUAUUUAUCGUGACAUCACAAAACAAGCAGCAGUCACGCUUCCGGGUUCUUCACGCAGUCAGAUUAGAAAUGGCUAUUCGGAGCACAUGCAAUUAUAAUCAAAAUUAUAUGUUAUGUUAUGUUAAGCCUAUAAUUGUAAAAAUUUAUGUUAAAUAAAGGUUAUUAGAACACCUAUGUUUUAUAGUGAGGAAAUGCACAAUUGUUUUUAAACUCCAAAAAAUAUUUAGCUGGAAAUGUAGCAGAUUGUUAAUUAAUUCUGGUGAUGUUAACAUCUCAAAUAACAUUAAUUGUGAAUUUAUGAAUGUUUACAAAUUUUUAAAAAUUGGUAUAUCUUAAAAAGUCAAAUAAUCUUGUUGUGUUCAGAAUUUUAAUUAUUAUCGGCUGACAUAUCUUGAUGAGGCCUUAAUAAAGCUUUUGUAGUUUUGAUCUGUCAGCUCACCCAUUAUAUUUAUGAAUGUACAUAUAAUAUUUUAACAUAUAAUUUAUUUCUAAAUUAACUUUAAUAUUAUGUUAUACACAAUCUUUUUCAACAUUUGAAUUUGAAAGACUUACCAACAGAAUGAGUUGCUAACAAGCAGCUUUUCUGCUUUUUUUUUUUUUUUUACUUUUCUGUACUGAGAAGCAACAGAAGUUCCUUGAUUUUGAAUGUACUGUGUUCCUUCUUUAUGUUUCCGCUAUAAAUGUAGCUUGUCUGGUGUUUUCUCAUGUUUAUAUCUUAAUUGUUAACAUCAAUUAAUCCAAUCUUUUUGGAAAACCUGUAUAACAAAUAAGCAUAUUUUCAAUAAAACAGAGAUAUUUAACUUAGUUGUGUUUUGUUAAGGGGUGGGCUUAGGUAGGAACCUUCUAUACAGUGGCAGUCGUGGCUUAAUGGAUAGAAAGUCGGACUUGUAACUCAUAGGUUGCGGGAUCGAGUCUCAGGUCUGGCAGGGAUUGUACUGUAGGUGGUGGGAGUAAAUGUAUAGCGCUCUCUUCUACCUUCAAUACCACCUUUAACAAGACCCUGAACCCCCAGCUGUUCCCUGGAUGCCGCAGCAAAAUGGCUUCCCACUGCUCUGGGGGUGUGUGUGUGUUUACUACUGUGUGUACACGCCAGGUUCCACCUCCCUCCAAUCACAGCGCACGCCCUCACCUGAGUACUGAUCACUUCCACCUGACCCUCAUCAACAUUCAAUCAACUCUGCAUCACAAAUACCACACACACACGCGAUCUCCAGAAGUUCCCAGUCAUCUCCAUGCGUGUGUGUGGUACACCUCCCUCCUUCGACAUCUCUACCCCUCUAGUACGGAUCCAUUCAUCACAGCCUUCCCCUACAUCACUUUACCCAGCACUACCCGCUCCUCUGCUUGUGCCUGAAUAAAACUGUCUUUCUGUUAUCCUCAGCCUCCGGUAGUAUUCCGUAACAGAAGACAGGACCAACACCGAUCGGCACAAGCAUGAGCCUCACGGACCCCUUCCAAAACCUGGUCCACUCUACCCGCAUCCCCGGCACCUGCGAGCACUUCCGCCAACAACUCCAGCACUUCCUCACCUGCCGUGCUCGCCAGUCCCAUGGCCAAGCCGAUGCCCUAUUCUGGUUCGGCGGAGUAUUGCAGCGGAUUUCUACUUCAAUGCUCGCUGGUCCUGGAGAUGCAACCGCACUUAUACCCAACCGAAAUAUCCAAGAUAGCCUUCUUGAUAUCCCAACUGCAAGGUAAAGCACAUCAGUGGGCCGAUUCAAUUUGGACUCAGUUAUCCAGUCUUAUUCCAGCUUCAUCGACCAUUUCCGAGAAGUUUUUGGCAGACCAGCUUGGGACUCAUCUAUCGGUGAGAAGAUUCAUAACCUUAAACAGGGAAAAAUGUCUGUCACUGAAUAUGCUCUUCAGUUCAGGACUCUAGCGGCCAUCAGUGGAUGGAACGAACAGGCCUUGCUGACUACAUAUCAGUAGUCAGCAAGUAGUAUGUCAGUAGUAUGUCAGGGAUUGGAACCUCGAGUGCAGUUGCAUCUCACUGCAUACGAGGAUACCAUCAGGCUUGAACGGUUCAUUCUACUCUCCAUCCACUUCACCACCUGUAUGCAUGCCUAGAAGAGCACCAGGGCCAGGCAUACUCCAACUCCCCACUCUGCCGACCAGAGGCCGUCAGCUCCCCAGAACCAGCCAACGAACCUAUGCUAGUCAACUCCUAUCGAUUCACUGCGGCUGAAAGACAAAGACGGCUGGCCCAGAAUCUAUGCCCCAUUGUGCAUCCCCGGAGCAUAUCAUCUCUGUAUGCCCUGUCGUCCCAUGGUGAGUGCCAUUCUUCCUUCGAAGUAUCAAAUGAAACCACUCAGCACUGUUGUGACACUUACUGCCGCUGACAUCUCUUCCAGUGUCCGCCCUCCUCGAUUAUGGGUCAGCCGGCAACUUCAUCUCCGGCGCCCUCUGCCGUCAAUUCAAACUCGCUACCACGGCAACACCGUCAGCCUACCAGGUCCACACAAUUACUGGAAGGCCUUUGAGUAGAAGAUGUGUGUGUCACAGUGUGGGUCCUAUUAUCCUCCAAACCGGAAUACUCCAUCAAGAGGAUUUGCCAAUUUCUACAGACAUUUCAUCCAAAAUUACAGUGCCAUCACCAACCCUCUCACUAGCCUACUCUGGAAUAAACCCAAAUCACUCUCCUGGACUCUAGCCGCCACAGAGGCCUUCAACUCCCUCAAGAAGGCAUUUACGACCGCUCCACUCCUGGUCCAUCCUGACUCCAAUUGACCCUUCAUCGUGGAAGUCGAUACCUAUUGGUUUUUAUAGUUCUUUUGCACUUUAAUGUGUAAAACAUUUAACUUUUAUAUAUUUUUCUGUAUUGCUUUGUUUUAAAUGUUUAGUUAUUUUUGUUGUAAGAAAAAGUUAUUUAACCUGUUAUACUGUAUUAUGACCAAUUUUUUUAAAACAAAAUUGUCUAUACCGUGAUAAUACCAUAUACCGUGAUAAAAGCAUAAUCAAUUAACCACAACAGGAAAAUUAGAUACCGGCAUAUCCCUAGCUGAGACUACUCUUACACAGUCUUUCAUGAUCACAUAAAUCCAUUAUUUUCUUAAGUAAUCUGCAUUACAAAAAUAUUAAAUGAUUAAAGAUAAACAGACAAAAAUUAUGAUUGAAAAUGAACAGCAAUGAGAUAUUUAGCAUAUCUCACUUUUUUACCCGAGACUGGAAAGACCGGUAAAACCAGCAAAACAUUCCAAACACUAGCUCAAGUCACUUCUUUAAUUUGUAGUUGAAAGUCUGUAACACUCAACAACAAGCUCAUACCCAAAGUGCGGGGAUUCAUUUACUGACAGAAUGAAAUCUCUUAUGUGUCUUUUGUCAUAUUUGACAGCUGUUAAAGCAGGUAAGUCAGUUUACAGCUAUUCUUGUGAUCAUGAUGUGCACAUGUGCCCUUUGACUAUUCUACGCAUGAGAGGGGGUAUCUUGGGUACUUAUUAAUUUUCCUGUCUCUGGCUAGAUUACAGUAUAUAAACUUAAUGGUUCAUAUUACAUGAGUAAAUCAAAUUAAAGUUUCAGAAAUAUCUUAAUUUGAUAAUAAUUUCAGUAAUAUCUUUAUUUGAUAAUAGCUUAGUUUGUUUCAAUGUUAAGUAUGUAUUUAAUCUCAUUAUGGUCCGUUUAUAGACAAAAUGCCAAAAGAGUGUUAUUUUUUUAUCCAACAAAAAGGGGAACUAAAAAGGAGAACUUAAUGUUUUACAGUUU